AUUGAACGCUGGCGGCAGGCUUAACACAUGCAAGUCGAGCGGAGAUGAGGUGCUUGCACCUUAUCUUAGCGGCGGACGGGUGAGUAAUGCUUAGGAAUCUGCCUAUUAGUGGGGGGACAACAUUCCGAAAGGAAUGCUAAUACCGCAUACGUCCUACAGGAGAAAGCAGGGGAUCUUCGGACCUUGCGCUAAUAGAUGAGCCUAAGUCGGAUUAGCUAGUUGGUGGGGUAAAGGCCUACCAAGGCGACGAUCUGUAGCGGGUCUGAGAGGAUGAUCCGCCACACUGGGACUGAGACACGGCCCAGACUCCUACGGGAGGCAGCAGUGGGGAAUAUUGGACAAUGGGGGAAACCCUGAUCCAGCCAUGCCGCGUGUGUGAAGAAGGCCUUAUGGUUGUAAAGCACUUUAAGCGAGGAGGAGGCCACUGAGACUAAUACUCUUGGAUAGUGGACGUUACUCGCAGAAUAAGCACCGGCUAACUCUGUGCCAGCCGCCGCAGUAA
This 502-nucleotide ribosomal RNA is filed under the name uncultured bacterium. RNAcentral's name for it is "partial 16S ribosomal RNA". It matches the Rfam family "Bacterial small subunit ribosomal RNA", at positions 30 to 523 of the family's 1533-position model. The record is from RNAcentral.